RNAcentral lists this ribosomal RNA (250 nucleotides) under uncultured bacterium. Its description in RNAcentral is "partial 16S ribosomal RNA". It matches the Rfam family "Bacterial small subunit ribosomal RNA", at positions 524 to 773 of the family's 1533-position model. The record is from RNAcentral.
GACAGAGGGGGCAAGCGUUGCUCGGAAUCACUGGGCGUAAAGGGCGCGUAGGCGGGAUGGCAAGUCGGUCGUGAAAUCCUCCGGCUCAACCGGAGAACGUCGGCCGAAACUGCCGUUCUUGAGGGAUGCAGAGGAGACUGGAAUUCCCGGUGUAGCGGUGAAAUGUGUAGAGAUCGGGAGGAACACCGGUGGCGAAGGCGGGUCUCUGGGCAUCUCCUGACGCUGAGGCGCGAAAGCGUGGGGAGCAAAC